UACGAAGGGGGCUAGCGUUGCUCGGAUUUACUGGGCGUAAAGGGCGCGUAGGCGGACGAUCAAGUUGGCGGUGAAAUCCCGGGGCUUAACCUCGGAACUGCCUCCAAAACUGAUCAUCUAGAGUUUGGGAGAGGUGUGUGGAACUCCGAGUGUAGAGGUGAAAUUCGUAGAUAUUCGGAAGAACACCAGUGGCGAAGGCGACACACUGGCCCAAUACUGACGCUGAGGCGCGAAAGCGUGGGGAGCAAACAGG
This 253-nucleotide ribosomal RNA is filed under the name uncultured bacterium. RNAcentral describes it as "partial 16S ribosomal RNA". It matches the Rfam family "Bacterial small subunit ribosomal RNA", at positions 524 to 776 of the family's 1533-position model. The record is from RNAcentral.